AUGGAGGUGCAGGCCCAAGUACUUCGAAUCAUCAACAAGAAAUCCAAUAAAGAACAGCGAAGGAAAAACGUGACAAGAAAAGUGUUUUCUCGACUCGAGAUGUUAGAAGGUGCUAAAUCAAUAGGUGUUGGAGCUGCUACAAUUGCUUUAGCCGGAGCUGCUGUCGGUAUUGGAAACGUCCUCAGUUCUUUGAUUCAUUCCAUGGCGCGAAAUCCAUCAUUGGCUAAACAAUCAUUUGGUUAUGCCAUUUUGGGCUUUGCUCUCACCGAAGCUAUUGCAUUGUUUGCCCCAAUGAUGGCCUUUCUGAUCUCAUUCCUUUUCCGAUCGCAUAAAAAGUCAUGA
RNAcentral lists this ribosomal RNA (342 nucleotides) under Triticum aestivum (bread wheat). RNAcentral describes it as "partial small subunit ribosomal RNA". The record is from RNAcentral. Lineage: Eukaryota; Viridiplantae; Streptophyta; Magnoliopsida; Poales; Poaceae.